Molecule: ribosomal RNA, 215 nt
Filed under: uncultured bacterium
Lineage: Bacteria
Description: partial 16S ribosomal RNA
Rfam family: Bacterial small subunit ribosomal RNA
Source: RNAcentral
CGUACGGGACAACAUUCCGAAAGGAGUGCUAAUACCGGAUGUGAUCAUCUUGCCGCAUGGCAGGAUGAAGAAAGAUGGCCUCUACAAGUAAGCUAUCGCUAAAGGAUGGGCCUGCGUCUGAUUAGCUAGUUGGUAGUGUAACGGACUACCAAGGCGAUGAUCAGUAGCCGGUCUGAGAGGAUGAACGGCCACAUUGGGACUGAGACACGGCCCAA